GAUGAACGCUGGCGGCGUGCCUAAUACAUGCAAGUCGAGCGAACGGACGAGGAGCUUGCUUCUUUCAUGUUAGCGGCGGACGGGUGAGUAACACGUGUAUAACCUACCUAUCAUACUGGGAUAACUUCGGGAAACCGUCGCUUAUACCGGAUAAUAUUUUGAACCGCAUGGUUCAAAAGUGAAAGACGGUCUUGCUGGCACUACUAGCUGCAUCCGCGCUGUAUUAGGUAGUUGGUAAGGUAACGGCUUAGCAAGGCAACGAUGCGUAGACGACCUGAGAGAGUGAUCGGCCACCCGAGAACGGAGACACGGUCCAUGGGCCUACGAUAGGCAGCAGUCGGGAAUCGUCCGCAGUGGUCGAAAGCAUGACGGAGCAACGGCGCGCGAGAGAUGAAGGUCUUCGGUUCGGAAAACUCUGUUAUUAGUGGAGAACCGAUGUGUAAUUAACCGUGCCGAGCUUGACGGUAACGGAUCAGAAAGCCACGGCUAACUACGUG
RNAcentral lists this ribosomal RNA (497 nucleotides) under uncultured bacterium. Its description in RNAcentral is "partial 16S ribosomal RNA". It matches the Rfam family "Bacterial small subunit ribosomal RNA", at positions 28 to 507 of the family's 1533-position model. The record is from RNAcentral.